This 509-nucleotide ribosomal RNA is filed under the name uncultured bacterium. RNAcentral's name for it is "bacterial SSU rRNA". It matches the Rfam family "Bacterial small subunit ribosomal RNA", at positions 30 to 526 of the family's 1533-position model. The record is from RNAcentral.
AUUGAACGCUGGCGGCAGGCUUAACACAUGCAAGUCGAACGGUAACAUAAAGAAGCUUGCUUCUUUGAUGACGAGCGGCGGACGGGUGAGUAAUGCUUGGGAACCUAGCUUAUGGAGGUGGAUAACUACGGGAAACUGUAGCUAAUACCGCGUAGAAUCGAUAGAUGAAAGUGUGGGACCUUCGGGCCACAUGCAAUAGGAUGAGCCAAAGUGGGAUUAGGUAGUCGGUGAGGUAAAGGCUCAACAAGCCAACGAUCUCUAGCUGGUCUGAGAGGAUGACCAGCCACACUGGGACUGAGACACGGCCCAGACUCCUACGGGAGGCAGCAGUGGGGAAUAUUGCGCAAUGGGGGCAACCCUGACGCAGCCAUGCCGCGUGAAUGAAGAAGGCCUUCGGGUUGUAAAGUUCUUUCGGUAGCGAGGAAGGCAUUUAGUUUAAUAGACUAGGUGAAUGACGUUAACUACAGAAGAAGCACCGGCUAACUCCGUGCCAGCAGCCGCCGUAAUAC